UGUCAAAAAGUUUAUCCAUUUUUAUUUUUAAAAAUCGGUAUGACUAACAAAAUAAUCACAUAGUAAUAUAUGACAUGGCACGUGUACCUUAUGUUGAUGUAUAGUGACCAAUUUUUAAUGGUAGAAAUUGAUGGAAAUUUUAUUG
Non-coding RNA from Gossypium raimondii (Peruvian cotton), 145 nucleotides. NCBI's taxonomy places the organism in Eukaryota, Viridiplantae, Streptophyta, Magnoliopsida, Malvales, Malvaceae. The record is from Rfam.